Molecule: long non-coding RNA, 626 nt
Organism: Hydractinia symbiolongicarpus
Lineage: Eukaryota; Metazoa; Cnidaria; Hydrozoa; Anthoathecata; Hydractiniidae
Exons: 3
Source: RefSeq, a predicted model, not a curated record
AUUAUGUCGUGGUGACCGGUUUAUGAACGCUGAUAUAAUGGCAGGCAGGCUGUGAUUGGCAUUUCCUUCCGACUUUUGUAAAUGAAACAUUGACGAAUCUUUAUGUACGUGGAAGCUGUUGUUCGUGGAGUCCAAUGUCGUUGGAGUGUUGACAAUGCUGUAAUAUAUGCAAGAACUAUUAAUAUAAAUAUAAAAAAACUGAGUAUGGACGUUACUAUUUCUUAUUGUCUUGUGAAUGGAAAAGCACCAUGUUGAUGGUUUUCAUGGUAUGGAGAAAACGUCGAUGUCUUCAUCGUUAUCAAAGUUCGAAUCAGUGAUAACCUUGACUGUUUUGAAACAGUCGGUAUGAUUGUGGUUACUUACUUGGAAGCGUUUCAUGAAGCCAUUUGAUAUAAUAGGCUUGAUUGGCAGUACAGUCUUCUGUGGCUGUUUUAAGUGGCAAGUUUCGCAAAGAUUGAUAUACUCUUCAAAAACCGAUCUUGGGAUACCCCAAAAUGAACUUGAAACCUUAGUAGGAAAAAUACGAAUUGAGUAGUUAUUUGUAUCAAUCUUUAUAUUUUGUCUAGGGUACAAUUUUUUAUGUAAAUAUAGUUAUUAAUUCUGAUAAGAAAACACUAAUACCUUUU